This 745-nucleotide ribosomal RNA is filed under the name uncultured bacterium. RNAcentral describes it as "bacterial SSU rRNA". It matches the Rfam family "Bacterial small subunit ribosomal RNA", at positions 33 to 773 of the family's 1533-position model. The record is from RNAcentral.
ACGCUGGCGGCAGGCCUAACACAUGCAAGUCGAGCGGUAGAGAGAAGCUUGCUUCUCUUGAGAGCGGCGGACGGGUGAGUAAUGCCUAGGAAUCUGCCUGGUAGUGGGGGAUAACGUUCGGAAACGGACGCUAAUACCGCAUACGUCCUACGGGAGAAAGCAGGGGACCUUCGGGCCUUGCGCUAUCAGAUGAGCCUAGGUCGGAUUAGCUAGUUGGUGAGGUAAUGGCUCACCAAGGCGACGAUCCGUAACUGGUCUGAGAGGAUGAUCAGUCACACUGGAACUGAGACACGGUCCAGACUCCUACGGGAGGCAGCAGUGGGGAAUAUUGGACAAUGGGCGAAAGCCUGAUCCAGCCAUGCCGCGUGUGUGAAGAAGGUCUUCGGAUUGUAAAGCACUUUAAGUUGGGAGGAAGGGCAGUUACCUAAUACGUGAUUGUUUUGACGUUACCGACAGAAUAAGCACCGGCUAACUCUGUGCCAGCAGCCGCGGUAAUACGGAGGGUGCAAGCGUUAAUCGGAAUUACUGGGCGUAAAGCGCGCGUAGGUGGUUUGUUAAGUUGGAUGUGAAAUCCCCGGGCUCAACCUGGGAACUGCAUUCAAAACUGACUGACUAGAGUAUGGUAGAGGGUGGUGGAAUUUCCUGUGUAGCGGUGAAAUGCGUAGAUAUAGGAAGGAACACCAGUGGCGAAGGCGACCACCUGGACUGAUACUGACACUGAGGUGCGAAAGCGUGGGGAGCAAAC